Molecule: ribosomal RNA, 1984 nt
Filed under: Salmonella enterica
Lineage: Bacteria; Pseudomonadati; Pseudomonadota; Gammaproteobacteria; Enterobacterales; Enterobacteriaceae
Description: partial 23S ribosomal RNA
Rfam family: Bacterial large subunit ribosomal RNA
Source: RNAcentral
AAUCCAUAGGUUAAUGAGGCGAACCGGGGGAACUGAAACAUCUAAGUACCCCGAGGAAAAGAAAUCAACCGAGAUUCCCCCAGUAGCGGCGAGCGAACGGGGAGGAGCCCAGAGCCUGAAUCAGCAUGUGUGUUAGUGGAAGCGUCUGGAAAGGCGCGCGAUACAGGGUGACAGCCCCGUACACAAAAGCGCAUGUGCUGUGAGCUCGAUGAGUAGGGCGGGACACGUGGUAUCCUGUCUGAAUAUGGGGGGACCAUCCUCCAAGGCUAAAUACUCCUGACUGACCGAUAGUGAACCAGUACCGUGAGGGAAAGGCGAAAAGAACCCCGGCGAGGGGAGUGAAAAAGAACCUGAAACCGUGUACGUACAAGCAGUGGGAGCACCCUUUGGGGUGUGACUGCGUACCUUUUGUAUAAUGGGUCAGCGACUUAUAUUCUGUAGCAAGGUUAACCGAAUAGGGGAGCCGGAGGGAAACCGAGUCUUAACCGGGCGUUAAGUUGCAGGGUAUAGACCCGAAACCCGGUGAUCUAGCCAUGGGCAGGUUGAAGGUUGGGUAACACUAACUGGAGGACCGAACCGACUAAUGUUGAAAAAUUAGCGGAUGACCUGUGGCUGGGGGUGAAAGGCCAAUCAAACCGGGAGAUAGCUGGUUCUCCCCGAAAGCUAUUUAGGUAGCGCCUCGUGAAUUCAUCUCCGGGGGUAGAGCACUGUUUCGGCUAGGGGGCCAUCCCGGCUUACCAACCCGAUGCAAACUGCGAAUACCGGAGAAUGUUAUCACGGGAGACACACGGCGGGUGCUAACGUCCGUCGUGAAGAGGGAAACAACCCAGACCGCCAGCUAAGGUCCCAAAGUCAUGGUUAAGUGGGAAACGAUGUGGGAAGGCCCAGACAGCCAGGAUGUUGGCUUAGAAGCAGCCAUCAUUUAAAGAAAGCGUAAUAGCUCACUGGUCGAGUCGGCCUGCGCGGAAGAUGUAACGGGGCUAAACCAUGCACCGAAGCUGCGGCAGCGACGCUGAUGCGUUGUUGGGUAGGGGAGCGUUCUGUAAGCCUGCGAAGGUGUGUCGUGAGGCAUGCUGGAGGUAUCAGAAGUGCGAAUGCUGACAUAAGUAACGAUAAAGCGGGUGAAAAGCCCGCUCGCCGGAAGACCAAGGGUUCCUGUCCAACGUUAAUCGGGGCAGGGUGAGUCGACCCCUAAGGCGAGGCCGAAAGGCGUAGUCGAUGGGAAACGGGUUAAUAUUCCCGUACUUGGUGUUACUGCGAAGGGGGGACGGAGAAGGCUAUGUUGGCCGGGCGACGGUUGUCCCGGUUUAAGCGUGUAGGUGUGUGUUCCAGGUAAAUCCGGUUCACUUUAACACUGAGGCGUGAUGACGAGGCACUACGGUGCUGAAGCAACAAAUGCCCUGCUUCCAGGAAAAGCCUCUAAGCAUCAGGUAACAUCAAAUCGUACCCCAAACCGACACAGGUGGUCAGGUAGAGAAUACCAAGGCGCUUGAGAGAACUCGGGUGAAGGAACUAGGCAAAAUGGUGCCGUAACUUCGGGAGAAGGCACGCUGACACGUAGGUGAAGUGAUUUACUCAUGGAGCUGAAGUCAGUCGAAGAUACCAGCUGGCUGCAACUGUUUAUUAAAAACACAGCACUGUGCAAACACGAAAGUGGACGUAUACGGUGUGACGCCUGCCCGGUGCCGGAAGGUUAAUUGAUGGGGUCAGCGCAAGCGAAGCUCCUGAUCGAAGCCCCGGUAAACGGCGGCCGUAACUAUAACGGUCCUAAGGUAGCGAAAUUCCUUGUCGGGUAAGUUCCGACCUGCACGAAUGGCGUAAUGAUGGCCAGGCUGUCUCCACCCGAGACUCAGUGAAAUUGAACUCGCUGUGAAGAUGCAGUGUACCCGCGGCAAGACGGAAAGACCCCGUGAACCUUUACUAUAGCUUGACACUGAACAUUGAGCCUUGAUGUGUAGGAUAGGUGGGAGGCUUUGAAGUGUGG